Molecule: non-coding RNA, 45 nt
Filed under: Trichobilharzia regenti
Lineage: Eukaryota; Metazoa; Platyhelminthes; Trematoda; Strigeidida; Schistosomatidae
Source: RNAcentral
AGAUAGCUGACGAGUCCCAAAUAGGACGAAAUGCUCAUCCUGGAU